RNAcentral lists this long non-coding RNA (706 nucleotides) under Marmota monax (woodchuck). Lineage: Eukaryota; Metazoa; Chordata; Mammalia; Rodentia; Sciuridae. The record is from RNAcentral.
GUUGGCUAAUGCGACUGCUGCUAGCACCAGUGCAAGUUGCCUAUGGUAGGAUACAGGACAUGUCCUUGCCUGCAAAAACUCAACCCUACUGUGUGCAUUCAAAUAGUUACUUCUAAAUGGUCUAAAGAGUACUAUUUCUAAAGGAGGUGAAUGCCUAUUCAUCCACAGAGGCCUCUGUUUUCCUACUGCACCUUUCUGAAGUAGCUUGGGAAGGAGGAUGGAGCUUCGGGCUUGGAGUCAUAGGAGCUAAGCAACUGCAGGCAGCCUUGGGGGCCAUGUGGUUUUCACAGGCUCUCUGGAGUCUCACUAUGCCAGAUUGGAACACUGAUGUACCGUAGACCACCUCGGCCUGAUGUCAUGGAGUCCUGUGAGCUCAGCUGUAGAAUGAGGAGGGCCACUCCUGAGGGAUUUUUUUUUCCCCCCUGCAGGAUGAUUGAGGAUUAAAUUUCAUGAUGUUUAUGUAGAGAACAAGGAGCACACCUAUUGGUUACAGGACAAGUCACUUAACUUUGCUGCCAUUGUUUCCUCAGAUCGAUUGACCUGUUGUUCCCUUCACUUCUUAAAGACGGAAGACCAGGCCCUCUGCCUUUUAAGGUAGUUGAGGAUAAAAAGUUAUUAAGAUUUGGUUAGAGAAGACAUUCACAAGGGUCUUGGUAGCUCAUUCCAGAGUUUUAGCACUAAAAUACAUGGCAACCUAUUGUAAUUC